This 245-nucleotide ribosomal RNA is filed under the name uncultured bacterium. RNAcentral's name for it is "partial 16S ribosomal RNA". It matches the Rfam family "Bacterial small subunit ribosomal RNA", at positions 524 to 768 of the family's 1533-position model. The record is from RNAcentral.
UACGGGGGGGGCAAGCGUUGUUCGGAAUUACUGGGCGUAAAGGGUGCGUAGGCGGUGCUCUAAGUCGGAUGUGAAAACUCUGGGCUCAACCCAGAGCCUGCAUCCGAAACUGGAGUGCUGGAGUUCUGGAGGGGGUAGCGGAAUUCCUGGUGUAGCGGUGAAAUGCGUAGAUAUCAGGAGGAACACCGGUGGCGAAGGCGGCUACCUGGACAGAAACUGACGCUGAGGCACGAAAGCUAGGGGAG